AAUGUUUUGUAUUGUUACACUCAUAUAUGCCUAUAAUAUGGAUAGGCGUCUCUACAAAGUUGCCGUAAAUGACUUAACUAUGAGUGAAGAGAAAAAUAGU
This 100-nucleotide non-coding RNA is filed under the name Ilyobacter polytropus. RNAcentral describes it as "Guanine sequence". It matches the Rfam family "Purine riboswitch aptamer". From Rfam's summary of the family: Riboswitches are metabolite binding domains within certain messenger RNAs that serve as precision sensors for their corresponding targets. Allosteric rearrangement of mRNA structure is mediated by ligand binding, and this results in modulation of gene expression. A class of riboswitches that selectively recognises guanine and becomes saturated at concentrations as low as 5 nM. The record is from RNAcentral. Lineage: Bacteria; Fusobacteriati; Fusobacteriota; Fusobacteriia; Fusobacteriales; Fusobacteriaceae. RNAcentral also lists the same sequence under 1 other name.